This 465-nucleotide ribosomal RNA is filed under the name Vreelandella stevensii. Its description in RNAcentral is "partial 16S ribosomal RNA". It matches the Rfam family "Bacterial small subunit ribosomal RNA", at positions 338 to 795 of the family's 1533-position model. The record is from RNAcentral. Lineage: Bacteria; Pseudomonadati; Pseudomonadota; Gammaproteobacteria; Oceanospirillales; Halomonadaceae.
CCUACGGGCGGCAGCAGCGGGGAAUAUUGGACAAUGGGGGGAACCCUGAUCCAGCCAUGCCGCGUGUGUGAAGAAGGCCCUCGGGUUGUAAAGCACUUUCAGUGAGGAAGAACGCCUGGUGGUUAAUACCCAUCAGGAAAGACAUCACUCACAGAAGAAGCACCGGCUAACUCCGUGCCAGCAGCCGCGGUAAUACGGAGGGUGCGAGCGUUAAUCGGAAUUACUGGGCGUAAAGCGCGCGUAGGUGGCUUGAUAAGCCGGUUGUGAAAGCCCCGGGCUCAACCUGGGAACGGCAUCCGGAACUGUCAAGCUAGAGUGCAGGAGAGGAAGGUAGAAUUCCCGGUGUAGCGGUGAAAUGCGUAGAGAUCGGGAGGAAUACCAGUGGCGAAGGCGGCCUUCUGGACUGACACUGACACUGAGGUGCGAAAGCGUGGGUAGCAAACAGGAUUAGAUACCCUAGUAGUC